GUGGGGAAUUUUGGACAAUGGGCGCAAGCCUGAUCCAGCCAUUCCGCGUGCAGGAUGAAGGCCUUCGGGUUGUAAACUGCUUUUGUACGGAACGAAAAGGUUCUCUCUAAUACAGGGGGCUGAUGACGGUAACGUAAGAAUAAGCACCGGCUAACUACUUGCCAGCAGCCGCGGUAAUACGUAGGGUGCAAGCGUUAAUCGGAAUUACUGGGCGUAAAGCGUGCGCAGCCGGUGAUGUAAGACAGAUGUGAAAUCCACGGGCUCAACCUGGGAACUGCCUUUGUGACUGCAUUGCUGGAGUGCGGCAGAGGGGGAUGGAAUUCCGCGUGUAGCAGUGAAAUGCGUAGAUAUGCGGAGGAACACCGAUGGCGAAGGCAAUCCCCUGGGCCUGCACUGACGCUCAUGCACGAAAGCGUGGGGAGCAAACAGGAUUAGAUACCCCUGUAGUCC
Molecule: ribosomal RNA, 450 nt
Filed under: uncultured bacterium
Lineage: Bacteria
Description: partial 16S ribosomal RNA
Rfam family: Bacterial small subunit ribosomal RNA
Source: RNAcentral